RNAcentral lists this unclassified non-coding RNA (156 nucleotides) under Pseudooceanicola antarcticus. Its description in RNAcentral is "6S / SsrS RNA". Lineage: Bacteria; Pseudomonadati; Pseudomonadota; Alphaproteobacteria; Rhodobacterales; Paracoccaceae. The record is from RNAcentral.
CGGGUGCUGCCCUUCUCGUGUACGGUUACAUUCCGGUGGCCUUAAGCAAAUCCGAGGGAGCUGGCUCUGUCCGGGCCGUGGUCCGGUUACCUGGCGCCCACCUGAUCAUCAGGUCCUCGGGAAUGCGUCAACCAAACGGUUGCGUGCGGGCCCGCC